UUAUUAAGAAGAAAAAAGAUUCCAUCAAUAAUUGUUUGGCAUUGUCAUUUUCCAUUUUUUUUCCUCGUCAACACUAGUGUCAUGUGGAUUUCCAGAUCAUCAACACACUGCUUUGUCCCACUUUGGUCUCUUAUCUCCUUAUUAAAUUUCUGGCUCUCCCACGUUCCACCCAUCCUUUAUUCUUCCACUCACCCAUUUAUUUGUCUCAAUUCUCAAAUAUGAAUUUUAUAUAAUUCGUUAUGUU
RNAcentral lists this long non-coding RNA (244 nucleotides) under Nicotiana benthamiana. RNAcentral describes it as "long non-coding RNA (NBEN_LNC031236)". Lineage: Eukaryota; Viridiplantae; Streptophyta; Magnoliopsida; Solanales; Solanaceae. The record is from RNAcentral.